AUGAGAAAACAGCCCUAUUUUGACAUUCGCAACAAUUGACGUGCAUUUAUACAAACAGGUGGUCACAAAGAGAUGAGUAUUUGGACAAAUUGCAACAUUAAUGACAUUUAUAGACUAAUUUAAUUUUAUUUAUUUUCUAUUUCAGGUACUGGAGGAUCAUCGUCGUCGUCUGGAGCAGUGUGGAUGGCACAGGGCGCAUCCGCCUCAGCGCUGGAUGUGCACGUGUGUGUGAUGCAGCAGAUCACGCAUCUGCGGCAUCAGAAUUGGCAGAGGCAGGAUCCAGGAGUUGGCGUGAAUGGUGAUGGUGUUUGGCGAGCGACUCUGGUCCGGCCGCCCAUGUUGCUUUUACCUGGAGAUCUGGGGAUUGGCACUGGCCAAUCGGGGUGCGUUGACCAGUGGAAAUGGCCGCAAAUGAGUGCGGAUUGUCUGCAUCCGAGUGGCUGCUGGUCCGGCCACCCAGGAUACACUGCCGAUGUAGUUGGAGAGUCGUCUGUAUUGGCUGGCCUCGUCGUUGGAUUGCCGCUGCUGUUUUGUGAUGAUGAUGGCGUGACGUCAUGGCCAUCGGUUGACGGCAGCGUAAUCGGAGGGGCGUCCGAAUUGGGCCCAACUUGCAACAAAAUGUUGCGGUUGGUGGCGAGGCAGGUACUGGAGAGGCUGAUCUGUGAGUGUAUUGACAGGUAAGUGUGAUUAGUAGAAGUAUUGGCUAUUUUGUGUUGAUGCGUGAAUUGAUGUUUUCCUUCUUUUAGCGGCAGCCUGGAUGUUGAUGGCGACGACGAUAGGGACUUCAAAUUUCGCCCAUUUGGCAGGAAUUGGAUGGAAUUGGAUUGGCUGCUCUGGACCUGUGCGGUGGAUUGUCAGGAGCGUCGUCAAUAAAUCCUAAAAUGUCGUCCAAUUGGCAUCAGAUGUGUGGUGUUGAUGACGGGGCAGCUGCUGAAGGGGCAGAUCUGUCGGAGGCGUGGCAGGUACGUGUGAUUAUUUUGGUGUUUUGUCCAUAUUUUGUUGGUAUGCGAAUUUACGUCAUUUUGUUUUAUUUCAGUGGCUGCUCUGGACCUGUGCGGUGAAUUAUCAGGAGAGUCGUCAAUAUAUUCCAAGAAUGUCGUCAAAUUAGCAGCAAAGGUUUGGUCUAUUUGUCGUGGCAUCUGCUGGUGGGGCAGCUCUGCCGAUGGCGUGUCAGGUGAUGGCUGCCUCAGGACCGACUUUUGGGCUCAUCAAAAGACGUCAGAGUAGUAGCUAUCGUAGGCGUCUAUGAUCUCCGCUAUCUCGUCGUCAAAUCAAUCGUCGUCCGUCCACAGGUCGUCGCCAUCGUCGCUGAGUGCUUCGCAGUCCAUAUCAGAGUCCUCCGAUACGGCUGCGGCGUCAGGUUGUGUAUUGGCGGCGGGUCUUGUAGGUGUUGGUGCUGCUGCUGGUGUCUGUGUUGGAGGAUUGGCCACUGCUGAGCCACUGCCCUUUGCUUCCGUCAGGUUUUUUAAUUAAUGUGAUUUCCACACACUUGCCAUCGCAUUGGAUGGCUGGAUGCCCAGCCGUUCCAGCUCCUCAGUAAUCCAGCUGCUUGGCGUAGUG
Molecule: RNA transcript, 1560 nt
Organism: Drosophila miranda
Lineage: Eukaryota; Metazoa; Arthropoda; Insecta; Diptera; Drosophilidae
Exons: 4
Source: RefSeq, a predicted model, not a curated record